UACGGAGGGUGCAAGCGUUGUCCGGAAUCAUUGGGUGUAAAGGGUGCGUAGGCGGGAGCCUAAGUCUGUGGUGAAAUCUUGCCGCUUAACGGUAAAAUGGCCAUAGAUACUGGGUUUCUUGAGUACAGGAGAGGUCGGUGGAGUUCGUAGUGUAGCGGUGAAAUGCAUAGAUACUACGAAGAACACCAGUGGCGAAGGCGGCCGACUGGACUGUAACUGACGCUGAGGCACGAAAGCGUGGGGAGCAAACAGG
RNAcentral lists this unclassified non-coding RNA (253 nucleotides) under uncultured Bacteroidota bacterium. RNAcentral's name for it is "uncultured Bacteroidetes bacterium contains 16S-23S intergenic spacer region". It matches the Rfam family "Bacterial small subunit ribosomal RNA", at positions 524 to 776 of the family's 1533-position model. Lineage: Bacteria; Pseudomonadati; Bacteroidota. The record is from RNAcentral.